GAUGAAGAACGCAGCGAAUUGCGAUAAGUAAUGUGAAUUGCAGAUUUUCAGUGAAUCAUCGAAUCUUUGAACGCACAUUGCGCCCCCUGGUAUUCCGGGGGGCAUGCCUGUCCGAGCGUCAUUACAACCCUCAAGCUCAGCUUGGUGUUGGGCCCCGCCGCCCCGGCGGGCCCUAAAGUCAGUGGCGGUGCCGUCCGGCUCCGAGCGUAGUAAUUCUUCUCGCUCUGGAGGCCCGGUCGUGUGCUCGCCAGCAACCCCCAAUUUUUUUCAGGUUGACCUCGGAUCAGGUAGGGAUACCCGCUGAACUUAAGCAUAUCAAUAAGCGGAGGA
Molecule: unclassified non-coding RNA, 330 nt
Filed under: soil metagenome
Description: partial contains 5.8S ribosomal RNA, internal transcribed spacer 2, and large subunit ribosomal RNA
Rfam family: 5.8S ribosomal RNA (bases 1-121)
Source: RNAcentral